CUACCCUGGGUUCCGGGCAGGGGUGGAACUGGAUUCUGCCUGGAUGGGGAUCGGAUGGGGGUGGAGGUUUGAUUUGGGAAGCAGAGCACAGCAGCCCAAAUUUGUUGUAAUGGCGGCGGCUACAGACUUGGCAUAUGGCAUAAGACACACAGAGAGAGCCUUGCUGGUGUAGCUGAGAUUUACGACCCUCAUCCAACCAAACCAUUUCAGAUUCUUGGGGCUCAGAGCUCUCAUCGGAAAGACAUCUAUUCUGGGAGCAGGUACCCUUGUGACUAUGAAGAUUGACAAAAAGUUGACGGCAACGAUGAAUUCUCUUCCAGAACUUACAUCCCAGAAGGCCCUCCCCUACUUCGGGUCUCCCUAGAGUUGAAGAAACUAAGGUUCAGAAGAACAAUGGCCUGUCCAGGAUCUCACAACCAGCAUCUACUUGUUCCAGUUCAAGUUAGGUUUGGCUGUUAAUAACAUCACCUGGUGG
Molecule: long non-coding RNA, 475 nt
Filed under: Homo sapiens (human)
Lineage: Eukaryota; Metazoa; Chordata; Mammalia; Primates; Hominidae
Description: HSALNT0409092
Source: RNAcentral